UACGGAGGGUGCGAGCGUUAAUCGGAAUAACUGGGCGUAAAGGGCACGCAGGCGGUCUUUUAAGUGAGAUGUGAAAUCCCCGGGCUUAACCUGGGAACAGCAUUUCAAACUGGGAGGCUAGAGUACUGUAGGGGGGGGUAGAAUUCCAGGUGUAGCGGUGAAAUGCGUAGAGAUGUGGAGGAAUACCGGUGGCGAAGGCAGCCCCUUGGGAAUAUACUGACGCUCAUGUGCGAAAGCGUGGGGAGCAAACAGG
This 253-nucleotide ribosomal RNA is filed under the name uncultured bacterium. RNAcentral describes it as "partial 16S ribosomal RNA". It matches the Rfam family "Bacterial small subunit ribosomal RNA", at positions 524 to 776 of the family's 1533-position model. The record is from RNAcentral.